GAUGAACGCUGGCGGCGUGCCUAAUACAUGCCAGUCGAGCGAACAGACGAGGAGCUUGCUCCUCUGACGUUAGCGGCGGACGGGUGAGUAACACGUGGAUAACCUACCUAUAAGACUGGGAUAACUUCGGGAAACCGGAGCUAAUACCGGAUAAUAUAUUGAACCGCAUGGUUCAAUAGUGAAAGACGGUUUUGCUGUCACUUAUAUAUGGAUCCGCGCCGCUUUAGCUAGUUGGUAAGGUAACGGCUUACCAAGGCAACGAUGCGUAGCCGACCUGAGAGGGUGAUCGGCCACACUGGAACUGAGACACGGUCCAGACUCCUACGGGAGGCAGCAGUAGGGAAUCUUCCGCAAUGGGCGAAAGCCUGACGGAGCAACGCCGCGUGAGUGAUGAAGGUCUUCGGAUCGUAAAACUCUGUUAUUAGGGAAGAACAAAUGUGUAAGUAACUAUGCACGUCUUGACGGUACCUAAUCAGAAAGCCACGGCUAACUACGUG
Molecule: ribosomal RNA, 497 nt
Filed under: uncultured bacterium
Lineage: Bacteria
Description: partial 16S ribosomal RNA
Rfam family: Bacterial small subunit ribosomal RNA
Source: RNAcentral